CACACACACACACCGCUGCUCUUAUAAUGAGCUGAAGUAAUCACAGCGAUGCUCAACAUCCAGCUUUAAUCGACUGUUGGUGAAUGGAAAUCAUUCUGUCGGGAGAAGCGUUUGAUUGGGUCAGCAGCUCCUCUGCACAUGCACAGAGUGUUGCCAAAGCCAAGUACCAGUUUCUCUUCGGAAAGACAGAAGACACAAGCUCAGCAGAUAGCGUCGCCCCUCCGACCCAAGAGAAACAGGGAAGCGGCUCAGGUCUUGAGUCCGCUCUUGAUGACGAUGACAUUGAUGAGACGUCCCUCUUCCAGGAAAUUGACAGGGAGCUGUCAAACCUGUUGAGUGGCCUGACCGCUCGGAGUCAGCAUGCUGCGUCCGGACAGGACUCGAUGUCAGGAAACGCCACCGCCGCCUCACCCAUGAUCCCUUGCAACGGGCAAGACGAAACCCCGCUGUCUCAGCUGGAUAUGGCCAAGCAGGGCCUGGACGUUCAGAACGGCCAGUCCGAGUUAGCAGGAGACUCCCUGCUGUUUGAUUCGUGGUGCGAGGCGCUCAUAAAGGACCCCAGCUCAGUUAUGGCGGCCGCAAACGAGCUGAGCUGCUUCAGCUCUGGGCCCAGUCGAGACCCCAGGAAUGCACUGGCCUGCCAAAAUAAACCUGACGCCAGCCCGACUCCAGCUGCAGCACAUGGGGAGCAGCCCUCAGAGGUGCCCUCCCAAGAAAACGCUGGAAAGGAGAUGGAGGGCAAGAGGGCCGGGUCACCCUUGCCCAGUAGGACAGACGACGACCCCUCGGCAGAACUGGUGGAUGGGUCUCUAGAGGAAUCCAAUAAAAUUCUGGCCGAGAUCCCGGGCAUCUUCAGUGGCUUUCUGGAGGGGGGCAAACUGCGGGACAAGCCGCCGAAGAAGCUGCGGUUUGUGGAGAGCAGGGAGAGCCUUGUGAACGGAGAGAUGCAGAACGGUACGUACCAGAGCUGCAGCGUGAAAGAGGAAGUGACUCUGGACGCGCAGCAUACAGAAGCCACAGGAGUGCCACAGGGGCGCGUGCUGAGACCCGAUCACAAUCCAGCAGAGAACGGCUCAGACAGGUGUUCUGCAGGUGAGAGUGACGCCACAGAUGUCUUCAGCUGCCAGUUUGAGAUCAUCCUGGAGUCGGAGCGUCUGCGGGGGACUCUCUACAGUAGCAUGGACUCGCUGUCCAACCCUGCACCUGAACCCAGCUCUCACAGCGCUCCAGGAGCCUCGUUUGCCUUCGACAUCCCCCUCACUCCCAUGAUUCAGCAGCGACUCAAGGACAGAAGUCUGUUCCUGAGCUCGGAUGCUGAGGUGCUGAGCGUCGCCGCCACGAAGGAGAGCGUCAGGGCAGCUCUGGAGGUGACCUCUUCGUUUCUCUCAGCGGGCCGCGAGGACGCAGGAAACGGUUUAAACGACAAAGACCCCAGAGACUGGCUGCAGGGCUGUUUCAGGUAAGACCGCACAGUUCAACGUAUGCUGAAAGAAUGGCUGACAGCUCUUUGUCAUGGUUGCAGAUAUUGCACGCAGUGUUGCACAAAUUGUAACAUUCUUCGCGCUGAGCACUGUUUCGUUAUGUUGUUAUGCUGAAGAGCUUGUGUACUGGAGAAAACAUGGAG
Sinocyclocheilus grahami is the source of this 1624-nucleotide long non-coding RNA. Ensembl annotates it as PH and SEC7 domain-containing protein 3-like. Lineage: Eukaryota; Metazoa; Chordata; Actinopteri; Cypriniformes; Cyprinidae. The record is from Ensembl.